This 74-nucleotide transfer RNA is filed under the name Lactifluus piperatus. RNAcentral's name for it is "Lactarius piperatus tRNA-Arg". It matches the Rfam family "tRNA". From Rfam's summary of the family: Transfer RNA (tRNA) molecules are approximately 80 nucleotides in length. Their secondary structure includes four short double-helical elements and three loops (D, anti-codon, and T loops). The record is from RNAcentral. Lineage: Eukaryota; Fungi; Basidiomycota; Agaricomycetes; Russulales; Russulaceae.
ACAUCUUUAGCUAAAUUGGAAAUAGUGUUUGUGUUCGAAGCAAGUGGAUAUUGGUUCAAAUCCAAUAAGAUGUU